Molecule: transfer RNA, 63 nt
Filed under: Amblyomma hebraeum (bont tick)
Lineage: Eukaryota; Metazoa; Arthropoda; Arachnida; Ixodida; Ixodidae
Description: tRNA-His
Source: RNAcentral
GUUUAAUUAGUUUAUAAAAAAUAAUAAAUUGUGGAUUUAUUGAAGAUGUAAAAUCAUUAAACA